GUUCACCCGGCUUGUGGGCACCACCUCCUGGCAGCCUUCCCUUCGAGUCCAGGUCGGGUGGAUACGCUCCCCGGGGACUCCAGGGCCGAGGGGAUUACAGCCACCUACUCCGUUCUCCAGCGCCAGCGUCUUAAGGUCAUUAGAUUCCACUAUUUGGUAACAGUAACUGUGGACUGUAGGAUGGCCAAUGAGAAAGAGAAAAGAGAAGGUGCUAUUUAUUUAUCAGAAUACAUAAACUGAUGCUUGAGAGUGGUGCUAAUGUCAAGUACAUAUGGUGACACUGAAACGUCAGUUGCCUUCAUAACCUGGACCAGAUCCAGCGUGAAGAUUUAGCCCUUCACCUUUCCAUCCCCAGGUGCUGGCUUGGCCCAGUAUCCAGACCCAAAGCUCUGCAUGAGGGAUUGGCACCCCGAUUCCCAAGUUUUACCUUCCCGAGAGAUGGCAAAGGAAGAUGGAAGUUUCUUCAACCUGCAGCUCACUUUUGAAGAUUCUGUGGGAUGGAUUAAGUGAACAUCAGACCACAGCAAGCCCUCCGAGAGGACUUCAUGCAGAGUUUGGGCUGAGGUGGUGAGGAGGGGUGUGGGAUGGUACCAACAUUACGGGUGAAGGCUUCCCUUACCUAUCGCUUUUUAUAUAAGCAUGCCAGCAAUAGAGUCGUCCUGGAAUAUGGUGCCCGGAAGAUCAAUUAAUCUCUUUUCAGUGAACUUGGAUACUUCCUUCUACUAAGAAACCCGUGUCAGCUCACAGAAAGCUGGUUGGAAUGCACAGCUGUAGCAACUAAUUAAACUCAGAUGCCCGCCUCUUAAUUGUUUUUGAUCUUUUUUUUUUUUUUUUACCUUGAAUUUCCA
RNAcentral lists this long non-coding RNA (848 nucleotides) under Ursus maritimus (polar bear). RNAcentral's name for it is "lncRNA (ENSUMAG00000013371.1)". The record is from RNAcentral. Lineage: Eukaryota; Metazoa; Chordata; Mammalia; Carnivora; Ursidae.